Molecule: ribosomal RNA, 253 nt
Filed under: uncultured bacterium
Lineage: Bacteria
Description: partial 16S ribosomal RNA
Rfam family: Bacterial small subunit ribosomal RNA
Source: RNAcentral
UACGAAGGGGGCUAGCGUUGUUCGGAAUCACUGGGCGUAAAGCGCACGUAGGCGGAUCUUUAAGUCAGAGGUGAAAUCCCAAGGCUCAACCUUGGAACUGCCUUUGAUACUGGGGAUCUCGAGUCCGGGAGAGGUGAGCGGAACUGCGAGUGUAGAGGUGAAAAUUCGUAGGUAUUCGCAAGAACACCAGUGGCGAAGGCGGCUCACUGGCCCGGUACUGACGCUGAGGUGCGAAAGCGUGGGAGCAACAGGG